This 73-nucleotide transfer RNA is filed under the name Lactobacillus kalixensis. Its description in RNAcentral is "tRNA-Phe". It matches the Rfam family "tRNA". Rfam says of the family: Transfer RNA (tRNA) molecules are approximately 80 nucleotides in length. Their secondary structure includes four short double-helical elements and three loops (D, anti-codon, and T loops). Further hydrogen bonds mediate the characteristic L-shaped molecular structure. tRNAs have two regions of fundamental functional importance: the anti-codon, which is responsible for specific mRNA codon recognition, and the 3' end, to which the tRNAs corresponding amino acid is attached (by aminoacyl-tRNA synthetases). tRNAs cope with the degeneracy of the genetic code in two manners: having more than one tRNA (with a specific anti-codon) for a particular amino acid; and 'wobble' base-pairing, i.e. permitting non-standard base-pairing at the 3rd anti-codon position. Lineage: Bacteria; Bacillati; Bacillota; Bacilli; Lactobacillales; Lactobacillaceae. The record is from RNAcentral.
GAACCGUUAGCUCAGUUGGUAGAGCGGCACCUUGAAGCGGUGCGCGUCGUUGGUUCGAUUCCAACACGGUUCA